RNAcentral lists this ribosomal RNA (254 nucleotides) under uncultured bacterium. RNAcentral describes it as "partial 16S ribosomal RNA". It matches the Rfam family "Bacterial small subunit ribosomal RNA", at positions 524 to 776 of the family's 1533-position model. The record is from RNAcentral.
UACGUAGGAGGCAAGCGUUGUCCGGAGUUACUGGGCGUAAAGGGCGCGUAGGCGGCCACCGCAAGUCAGUUGUGAAAGCUCUGGGCUUAACCCAGAAAGGUCAACUGAUACUGCGGGGCUAGAGUGCAGAAGGGGCAACUGGAAUUCUCGGUGUAGCGGUGAAAUGCGUAGAUAUCGAGAGGAACACCUGCGGCGAAGGCGGGUUGCUGGGCUGACACUGACGCUGAAGUGCGAAAGCUAGGGGAGCGAACGGG